This 1269-nucleotide ribosomal RNA is filed under the name Triticum aestivum (bread wheat). Its description in RNAcentral is "partial small subunit ribosomal RNA". The record is from RNAcentral. Lineage: Eukaryota; Viridiplantae; Streptophyta; Magnoliopsida; Poales; Poaceae.
AUGGCGGUGCGCGCGAGUGUGCUCGUGGUGGGCAUCCUCUGCCUGCUAGCAUUGUCGGCGUCGGCGUCGGCGCAAUACCCGUCGUCCCCAAGCUCCCCGGACUCGUAUCCAUCCCCUGGCUCAUACCCAUCUCCCGGCUCCCCGGACGGCAACGAGGGGGAGGGGGAGGCCGUCCCUCCCAGGAACGUCACCUGCAAGGACACCGACGGGAAGCGGCCGGGUUGCACGAGCACCUGCCCCGACCGCUGCCCACAGCAGUGCAUCGUCCUCUGCCCCGACUGCAAGACAUUCUGCCACGAUGAGGUAAAGCCGGCGAAGCCCGUGCCUCCACCUGCCAUGUUCGUGUUCGGAGACGGGGUGUUGGACGUCGGAAACAACAGAUACUUGCCCAAGGUCGAAACGGAGGAGGGGUACCCCCCUCAAGUCUCUCAAUCUAGCAGCGGCAGGUUCAGCAACGGAGCCAACUUGGCUGACACCGUUGCAACAUCAAUCGGCUUCCAGCAGAGCCCUCCAGCUUACAUGUCGUUGAACGGUGGGCUCAACAUGUGGGGCGCCAACUACGCCUCGGCAGGUUCCGGUAUCAAAAUCUCCACUAACGGAGAACGUUCCAUCUCGUUGCCGAAGCAGCUUGAGCACUUCAAGGUGACGAGGUCCCAGAUGGAGGCCAAGCUGGGUGGCGACGCGAAAUUGCGUGAGCUCCUCUCCAAGUCUUUCUUCCUAAUUGGCACCGGUGGCCAGGACCUCGAUCCAAGAUGGAACGUCGAGUCUGGAUAUCCACGAUCACAGACCGAGCUCCAGGAGCUCAUCACUCUUUACGGGGAAGCCAUCUCGUCCCUUUAUGACAUGGGCGCCAGGAAGAUGGCCAUCGUAAACGUUGGCAUCAUCGGCUGCAAGCCACCUCCCUACAGGUAUGAGUGUGACCAGAGCCUGAAAAAGAACGCCACCGCGUUCGACGCGGCCCUGAAGCCCCUAAUGGCUGGCCUCGCGUCCAAGAAGUCGGGUCUCUCCUACUCCAUCGGCGACUUCUACGGCUUCACCACCGCCGUCUUUGCCAACCCAUCAAAUUAUGGGCUAGUGAAUACCCAGGACUCCUGCAGCGAGUGGAGCUACCCCGACUGGACGUACUGCUACAACCCCGAUGGUUACUGGUUCUGGGACCCGGAGUUCAUGACAGAUAGGGCCGCCAAGCUGACAGCUGCUGCGUUCUACUAUGGUCCACCCCAAUUUACAUUUCCAAUUACCUUUAAGGCUCUGCUGGCGAAAAAAUAA